AGGAUCAACGCUGGCGGCGUGCAUGAGACAUGCAAGUCGAACGGACGAUCAAAGCUUGCUUUGUUCGUUAGUGGCGGACGGCUGAGUAACGCGUGGGUGACCUGCCCCGAAGUGGGGAAUAACUGCCCGAAAGGGUGGCUAAUACCGCAUGUGGUGGUGCAUUCAUUUGCACCAGUAAAGCCGCAAGGCGCUUCGGGAGGGGCCUGCGUCCGAUUAGCUCGUUGGCGAGGUAACGGCUCACCAAGGCGACGAUCGGUAGGUGGUCUGAGAGGACGAUCACCCAGACUGGGACUGAGACACGGCCCAGACUCCUACGGGAGGCAGCAGUCGGGAAUUUUGCGCAAUGGACGAAAGUCUGACGCAGCAACGCCGCGUGAGGGAUGAAGGCCUUCGGGUUGUAAACCUCUUUUCUCAGGGAAGAUAAUGACGGUACCUGAGGAAUAAGCCACGGCUAACUACGUGCCAGCAGCCGC
This 473-nucleotide ribosomal RNA is filed under the name uncultured bacterium. RNAcentral describes it as "SSU rRNA". It matches the Rfam family "Bacterial small subunit ribosomal RNA", at positions 26 to 518 of the family's 1533-position model. The record is from RNAcentral.